GAGUCCAAAUCAAGCAAACCAGUCCCUCCCUCUUUCACACCGGACCUUGAAUUGUGUCCCAACUGACACCAGUUUGAUAGUUUCUUUGAAUUUAUCAAUGUUCAAGAAGCUCGAUAAAUGAUCUUGAAACCUACAAAAACCUUGAGUCAGAAUUUGGUGGAAAGUUAUAUGUAGCAUCAUAUGAUAAUUAGUUUAGAAGUUACUUUAAUGGUAAAAUACUACCUUUUAUUUUUACAUAUUCUAAUUUAUUUUAUCAUGUUAUAAUUUUAUAUCUUGAUUUUCAGGUUUUGAUGUCAAUGGUAUUAUGGAAUCAAAGUGCAAUGUUCUUGUCAUCUUGAUGUGCUUUUUUAUUGGGAUAAUGUGCACAAUGAAGAUUUAUAUUUUUUGCAUGAAGUGUUUUAUUUUUUAUGGCAUUGUUAUUUGUUGUUUCUUUUUAAGCCAUUUUGAAGGCAAUGCUUUGUAAUUUUAAUUUUAAUUUGGUAUGUGUGUUAUUUAAACUUUGAUGCAGGAGAGAAGUCCAAAACACAAA
Populus nigra (black poplar) is the source of this 529-nucleotide long non-coding RNA. RefSeq lists it as uncharacterized. The transcript is spliced from 3 exons. NCBI's taxonomy places the organism in Eukaryota, Viridiplantae, Streptophyta, Magnoliopsida, Malpighiales, Salicaceae. The record is from RefSeq and is a predicted model, not a curated record.